GAACGAGAAAGUGGAGCAAUCCAUGAGUAAAGUGGCGACCGGGUGAGUAACACGUGACUAACCUACCCUCGAGUGGGGAAUAACUCCGGGAAACCGGGGCUAAUACCGCAUAACAUCGCAAGAUCAAAGCAGCAAUGCGCUUGAGGAGGGGGUCGCGGCUGAUUAGCUAGUUGGCGGGGUAACGGCCCACCAAGGCGAAGAUCGGUAUCCGGCCUGAGAGGGCGCACGGACACACUGGAACUGAAACACGGUCCAGACUCCUACGGGAGGCAGCAGUGGGGAAUUUUGCGCAAUGGGGGAAACCCUGACGCAGCAACGCCGCGUGGAGGAUGAAGUCCCUUGGGACGUAAACUCCUUUCGACCAAGACGAUAAUGACGGUACCGGAAGAAGAAGCCCCGGCUAACUUCGUG
This 411-nucleotide ribosomal RNA is filed under the name uncultured bacterium. RNAcentral's name for it is "bacterial SSU rRNA". It matches the Rfam family "Bacterial small subunit ribosomal RNA", at positions 64 to 507 of the family's 1533-position model. The record is from RNAcentral.